GAACGCUGGCGGCAGGCCUAACACAUGCAAGUCGAACGGUAACAGGAAGCAGCUUGCUGCUUCGCUGACGAGUGGCGGACGGGUGAGUAAUGUCUGGGAAGCUGCCUGAUGGAGGGGAUAACUACUGGAAACGGUAGCUAAUACCGCAUAAUGUCGCAAGACCAAAGAGGGGGACCUUCGGGCCUCUUGCCAUCGGAUGUGCCCAGAUGGGAUUAGCUUGUUGGUGGGUAACGGCUCACCAAGGCGACGAUCCCUAAGCUGGUCUGAGAGGAUGACCAGCCACACUGGAACUGAGACACGGUCCAGACUCCUACGGGAGGCAGCAGUGGGGAAUAUUGCACAAUGGGCGCAAGCCUGAUGCAGCCAUGCCGCGUGUAUGAAGAAGGCCUUCGGGUUGUAAAGUACUUUCAGCGGGGAGGAAGGGAGUAAAGUUAAUACCUUUGCUCAUUGACGUUACCCGCAGAAGAAGCACCGGCUAACUCCGUG
RNAcentral lists this ribosomal RNA (486 nucleotides) under uncultured bacterium. RNAcentral describes it as "bacterial SSU rRNA". It matches the Rfam family "Bacterial small subunit ribosomal RNA", at positions 31 to 507 of the family's 1533-position model. The record is from RNAcentral.